Sceloporus undulatus (fence lizard) is the source of this 416-nucleotide long non-coding RNA. RefSeq lists it as uncharacterized. The record is from RefSeq and is a predicted model, not a curated record. Lineage: Eukaryota; Metazoa; Chordata; Lepidosauria; Squamata; Phrynosomatidae. The transcript is spliced from 2 exons.
AUAUCCAGCAUGCAUUGUGGUGAGUCAUCCAAAGCCAGUGCUUCAUUUGAAGAUUUCCUCUGAGAAUUUAGGAAAUUGGACCAGCAACAGAUUGGAAUCGUGAUGAGUGUAAGCGUAUCAUGAAGGUAGCAAGAUGGCAGUGUCUUCAUUAUCAGGUUUAUAUUUAUUUGUCGGGACACGUCUCCCUGUCGUAUCGUUUGGCAUACAGAAAUACUGCUGAUGGGAAUUUAAUUAAUGUAUUACUUAAUAAUAAUAAUAAUAAUAAUAAUGAAAAGAAAGACAGCAAGAAGACCCAACCAAGGAGAAAAAGCUCAGCACACAAACAUGGACAGGUAGAUAACUCGGUGACACGUGGCUGUUCAACUCGUUGCCAUGUUUAUCCCCUUUCUGUGCAUUAAAGAAAAUAUUUACAAACA